UUUACCGUUACUACUCUCUUUCCUUUUAUAAACUCCCCGUUCUUCGCUAUCGUGACCGAAGAGACGAAAUAAAUUUCAUUCAUUCAUAACAACUGUUGUUACCUCGCUACUCGCAGAUAAAGAAGUUUUUUGCUGUUUACAUGUUUUUUUUUACAUGGCAACUAGUUAUAAUUCAUACACUACGUUUUUGUACAUUAACUAGUUGUGUGUUGCAUACGUGUAUGUCACAGAUAGACUGUGUUGUCGAUGGAGUCCGAAAUGAAGCGGUACCAAAGAGAGAGGUCACAAAGAGAGAAAGACUCAAAUGGGCUUUCCGGAUGUUGGGGUUUCUCAGCACCAUCAGAUUUUUCCGCUCCGUCACCACCGGAGGCGCCACUUGCUUCAGUUCCCAUUUGUGACGUCAUGUUCUUGUCGGUUGCUGAAAUAUUUUUACGAAAACUUGUUUUAUCUUGCAUGAUAGUUUUCAAGAGAAUUAUAAAUGUCAAGAUACUGUCUUUUUUAAAGUAAAACCAUUUCCAAUGCUCCUUCUGCCAUCAUCAAUGCUUUUAAUCUUUCCUCUUCAAUCCUCCGUGCGUUAUCAUCUUCCGCUGCCACGGCGAUGGCUCUCGUCAUGUCCAUGACUCCCUGACACUCGAGCCGGUUGCCGUCGAGAAAAAACUCUCGGAUCGUGGAGUGGAACGCAACCUCACCGAGAGGAAGUCCACUUCUCCUUCGUCCCCAAACUCAUUGUAAUCAAGAUUGACCUCCGUGAGACUACUGAACCGGAACGACCUUGCUAAUCGCUCAACCGAAUAA
Ciona intestinalis (vase tunicate) is the source of this 795-nucleotide non-coding RNA. NCBI's taxonomy places the organism in Eukaryota, Metazoa, Chordata, Ascidiacea, Phlebobranchia, Cionidae. The record is from RefSeq and is a predicted model, not a curated record.